Molecule: ribosomal RNA, 1515 nt
Filed under: uncultured compost bacterium
Lineage: Bacteria
Description: bacterial SSU rRNA
Rfam family: Bacterial small subunit ribosomal RNA
Source: RNAcentral
CGGAGAGUUUGAUCCUGGCUCAGGACGAACGCUGGCGGCGUGCCUAAUACAUGCAAGUCGAGCGGGGUAGAGAGAGCUUGCUCUCGUAAACCUAGCGGCGGACGGGUGAGUAACACGUAGGCAACCUGCCUGUAAGCCUGGGAUAACUCCGGGAAACCGGAGCUAAUACCAGAUAAGCUGUAAGACCGCAUGGUCUUACACUAAAAGGAUGCGAUCCACUUACAGAUGGACCCGCGGCGCAUUAGCUAGUUGGUGAGGUAACGGCUCACCAAGGCGACGAUGCGUAGCCGACCUGAGAGGGUGAUCGGCCACACUGGGACUGAGACGCGGCCCAGACUCCUACGGGAGACAGCAGUAGGGAAUCUUCCGCAAUGGACGAAAGUCUGACGGAGCAACGCCGCGUGAGCGAAGAAGGCCUUCGGGUCGUAAAGCUCUGUUGUUAGGGAAGAACAAGUAUCGUUCGAAUAGGGCGGUACCUUGACGGUACCUAACCAGAAAGCCACGGCUAACUACGUGCCAGCAGCCGCGGUAAUACGUAGGUGGCAAGCGUUAUCCGGAAUUAUUGGGCGUAAAGCGCGCGCAGGCGGUCCUUUAAGUCUGAUGUGAAAGCCCACGGCUCAACCGUGGAGGGUCAUUGGAAACUGGGGGACUUGAGUGCAGAAGAGGAGAGCGGAAUUCCACGUGUAGCGGUGAAAUGCGUAGAGAUGUGGAGGAACACCAGUGGCGAAGGCGGCUCUCUGGUCUGUAACUGACGCUGAGGCGCGAAAGCGUGGGGAGCGAACAGGAUUAGAUACCCUGGUAGUCCACGCCGUAAACGAUGAGUGCUAAGUGUUAGAGGGUUUCCGCCCUUUAGUGCUGCAGCAAACGCAUUAAGCACUCCGCCUGGGGAGUACGGUCGCAAGACUGAAACUCAAAGGAAUUGACGGGGGCCCGCACAAGCGGUGGAGCAUGUGGUUUAAUUCGAAGCAACGCGAAGAACCUUACCAGGUCUUGACAUCCUUAUGCCAUCCCUAGAGAUAGGGCUUUCCCUUCGGGGACAUAAGUGACAGGUGGUGCAUGGUUGUCGUCAGCUCGUGUCGUGAGAUGUUGGGUUAAGUCCCGCAACGAGCGCAACCCUUGAUCUUAGUUGCCAGCAUUUAGUUGGGCACUCUAAGGUGACUGCCGGUGACAAACCGGAGGAAGGUGGGGAUGACGUCAAAUCAUCAUGCCCCUUAUGACCUGGGCUACACACGUGCUACAAUGGAUGGUACAAAGGGCAGCGAAACCGCGAGGUUAAGCGAAUCCCAUAAAACCAUUCUCAGUUCGGAUUGCAGGCUGCAACUCGCCUGCAUGAAGCCGGAAUCGCUAGUAAUCGCGGAUCAGCAUGCCGCGGUGAAUACGUUCCCGGGCCUUGUACACACCGCCCGUCACACCACGAGAGUUUGUAACACCCGAAGUCGGUGGGGUAACCGCAAGGAGCCAGCCGCCUAAGGUGGGAACAGAUGAUUGGGGUGAAGUCGUAACAAGGUAGCCGUA